Molecule: small RNA, 793 nt
Filed under: Pan troglodytes (chimpanzee)
Lineage: Eukaryota; Metazoa; Chordata; Mammalia; Primates; Hominidae
Description: retained intron
Source: RNAcentral
UCACGGCCCCAGGCGAAGCCCGGCCGGCUACGGCCCCUUCCCCGAGGGCGCUAGGACCCCUAGGUUCUGCCCCUGCAGGCCCCGCCGUCUCUUCUAGCCGCACCCCAUCCGGGUCUGCAGACCCCACCCUCCUGAGGCCCCUUUCCAUUAGCCCCUGCUCCACGAUAAGCCCGCCUCUCGCAGGUCCCACCCUCUCCCGACGACCUUCCGAGCCGCGGGUUACUCGCCCUGUCCCUCAAGUACGUCCCCGCCGGCUCCGAGGGCGCAGGACUGCCCCCGAGCGGGGAGCUGCACUUCUGGGUGAAGGAGGCUCGGGACCUCCUGCCGCUGCGGGCAGGAUCCCUGGACACUUACGUACAAUGCUUCGUGCUGCCUGAUGACAGCCGGGCCAGCCGCCAGUGUACAAGGGUUGUGCGACGCAGCCUCAGCCCUGUGUUCAAUCACACCAUGGUGUACGAUGGCUUUGGGCCUGCUGACCUGCGCCAGGCUUGUGCCGAGCUCUCCCUCUGGGACCAUGGGGCCCUGGCCAACCGCCAGCUGGGGGGCACACGCCUCAGCCUGGGCACCGGCAGCAGCUAUGGGCUGCAGGUGCCCUGGAUGGAUUCCACACCUGAGGAGAAGCAGCUGUGGCAAGCCCUCCUGGAGCAGCCGUGCGAGUGGGUGGAUGGCCUUCUACCCCUCAGAACCAACCUGGCCCCCAGGACGUAGCCCCACCAAGCCUCUCUCUCUGGACCCCCAUCUCAGGGCCUGCCCUUGGCUAAAGUCAAUAAAGUCUAUUCUAAGAGCAAUAAAA